Molecule: long non-coding RNA, 361 nt
Organism: Suricata suricatta (meerkat)
Lineage: Eukaryota; Metazoa; Chordata; Mammalia; Carnivora; Herpestidae
Source: Ensembl
UUUUGUUUUGUCUCUUUUUACUCGAAUCAAUCAAACCUAAGAGCUGAGUGAUAGAAAAGACCAGAGAAGUUGGUGUUUUCCUGGAAAGGAGAAGAGAAGACUUUUAAGAGCAGCAGAACCUCUCUUCAUCUCAUGAACCAUGCCACCCGUGCCUGCAAGGGUACAAGCAAAGACAUAUGUGUGCUUAGUUAAUAACCGUGUGAGAAAGAUGGAGGGCCCCCAGAAGCCUAUACGAUCCGUGGGUCAUGGGUGCAGUUAUCCAGAUGAAAAGAUGUUGAGUCUCUAUGUGGGCAACCAGUGACAACCUUCUUCCAAAUCUGGAUUCAAAAUGAAGCUAAAGAAUCAAGAAGACAAAUGGAAC